This 216-nucleotide ribosomal RNA is filed under the name Glomeromycotina sp. Its description in RNAcentral is "partial small subunit ribosomal RNA". The stretch from base 92 to 216 matches the Rfam family "Eukaryotic small subunit ribosomal RNA", at positions 738 to 864 of the family's 1831-position model. The record is from RNAcentral. Lineage: Eukaryota; Fungi; Glomeromycota.
GGGUCAGUAGGUUGGUCGUGCCACCGGUACGUACUGGUCUCACUGAUUCCUCCUUCCUGAAGAACCGUAAUGCCACUAAUUUGGUGUCGCGGGGAAACAGGACUGUUACUUUGAAAAAAUUAGAGUGUUUAAAGCAAGCUAACGCUUGAAUACAUUAGCAUGGAAUAAUGAAAUAGGACGAUCGAUCCUAUUUUGUUGGUUUCUAGGAUUGACGUA